GAUGAAGAACGCAGCGAAAUGCGAAAAGUAAUGUGAAUUGCAGAAUUCAGUGAACCAUCGAAUCUUUGAACGCACAUUGCGCCCGCUGGAACUCCGGCGGGCACGCCUGUCCGAGCGUCAUUUCAACCCUCAGGCCCCCCUUCGCGGGCGGGCCUGGUGUUGGGGCCCGGCCGCUACCCUGCGGCCGUCCCCUAAAUUCAGUGGCGGCCUCGCCGUGAUCCCUUGCGUAGUAAUGCACCUCGCACCGGAGAGCGCCGUGGCCACGCCGUAAAACCCCCAAUUUUCAAUGGUUGACCUCGGAUCAGGUGGGAAUACCCGCUGAACUUAAGCAUAUCAAUAAGCGAGGA
Molecule: unclassified non-coding RNA, 347 nt
Filed under: soil metagenome
Description: partial contains 5.8S ribosomal RNA, internal transcribed spacer 2, and large subunit ribosomal RNA
Rfam family: 5.8S ribosomal RNA (bases 1-120)
Source: RNAcentral